GCAGCAUGGUUAAGUGUGUGCUCUCGACUCGACGUUACGUAUGGUGCAGUGGUUGUGGAAGGACCAUUUUGACAGUAAAAUAGCUGAAGUUAGCCUUAAUAUUGAGGCUGCAUGGUUUUCAGAGUCGAUUACUUUAUUAGAGGAGUAUUUUGCCUUCUUUCCAACUGCACCACUGGAUUGGUGACCGAUUGUGGGAACCUGGUAUGGAGUCCUUCUUAUCUACAUAUACUCUGAUCCUGCAACCAUUCCUGGUUAAUCAACUUGGAGCGUCAGUGUAACCAGGGUAAGGAUAUUUUCUGUCUAACAAUCUUGUCUAAUCUUUUAAAAUGUUACUAAUAGUCACCAAUGCCACCAAUGAAUCACAACUUCUAUCUAUUCCAACCUUGCACCACACUGCAUUUUAUUAACAAGCUCUCUUCUACCUAUACUUCUACGAUUAACAUCAGUCACUGUCAUGUAACAACCACUGCACACCAUUUGCAUGCACCUCCAAUAAUCCCUGAAACUAAAUAAAAUUCUUGUUAGAUUUGCAUUUUCUGAUUGUGUAUUUAUUUGACUUUUCUUUACUGCAAUGGUGAAAUGCCGAACCAUCUGCUUACGAGAGAGUGUUCCGUGGAAGUAUGGAGUCCAAUGCAAACUACACAUGCCAUCCCAGCAUCAUGAAGUCAUCAAUGGAGUUUGCUGAGGAAAAUGACAUCUUCUAAUUUUAAGGUUUAGGAAGAAAAUCUACACGGUAUCUCUAAGACUGGAAUGGACACAGUGGCUGCUACAACCCUGAAGGCAUCUGGAGAGUCCUGGUGAUGAAGAGCGACAUCUAUGAUAUAAGGAAAGCGGUAUCGUAUUGUUUUCUUAGUUUCUUCCUGUUUAUAUAUUUAUUUUGGAUUUUACCCAUUUUACCCUGUUUUUAGUUGUGUUUGAUAUUAUGCAGGUUGGCUGUUUGAUGUCUGACUGGGACGUUGACUGAACUAUCUGCCGACGACCAAGGGCCAAGAUGACAACAGAUGGGUGCCUGGCUACACAUAGAAGUGUUCUUGUCUCCAUGGUGGAUGAGAAGAUGGUUGCAGUCUAAUGGAAGAAACAACAGAUGUAGCUGGUCUGGGUUUUGAUGUGCUGUACUACCUGCCGAUGAAGGACCGAGACGGCAACAGAUGGGUGCCAGGCUACACUAGAGAGGUGUUCCUGUCUCCAUGGUGGAUGAGAAGAUGGUUGCAGUCUAAUGGAAGUACCAACAGAUGUAGCUGGGUAUCAAGAUGACUGGAAUGGACGGUGAGCUCCUGGAAUCCUGAAGGCAACGGGAGAGUCCUGGUGAUGAAGAGUAACGCCAUGGAGAUGAGGAUAGAGGUAUCACAUAUUGUUUUCUUAGUUACUUUAUAGUUUGUUUUAGUUUGUUAUAAUUUGUUUUAGUUUGUAUUUUAAGUUCUACAGGUUUGCUGUUUGAUGACUGACUGGGACGUUGGCUGAACCAUGGUUGCUAGGAUCGACGCUGACUGAAACAUCCAACGGAAUUGCUGGGAUCGACCUGUCUCUGUAUCCAGAUGCUUCGUUCCUACUUCAAAAGGAUGACCGACGAAGUGCUGUACUACCUGCCGAGAUGACAACAGAUGGGCGCCUGGCUACACUAGAGAAGUGUUCCUGUCUCCAUGGUGGAUGAGAAAAUGUUCUGCAGUCUAAUGGAAGAAACAACUGAGUAGCUGGUCAGAUGAUUAUGAUGUCUGUUUCUCUGCCGUCCCGUCAUUAUGGACCAUGAAGAUGUGACAUCACAGUACGAAGAGAGAUACGUCAUGGCUUGAGGAGAUAGACAUCAAGUAUUUCUCAGCUACAUACCAGGGUCCAAGUGGAAUUUGAAGGAUGAAGACAGUUAAAGAACUGAGCCACCUAAUGCAUUACCAACACAACUAUUGCUUCACCGCUGUUUUCGCUGAAGAUCUGUUUCUUCAUGAAGACUGCCCUCAUCUAAGAACGUAUACAAAUUGGUGGCUACAGCUUUGACUGUUAUUGAGGACGCAGGCCCGAUACUUCACGGAGGCAACAAAGGCGAUUGCCUCCAAGCCUCUGCCCAUUGCCUUGGUGCUCUUACGAUGCUCCGGCAGAAACUUGCCAUUGCCCCAAAACGAAGCAUGCAUGGCUGAUCUAUACUUCCACCAAUGAGCAGACUUUCUAAGAAGUGGACAACAUUGAACAAUUGUUUUGGGAUUAUCAUUGCGGACAAAGCGUCCAAUGGAUCUUGAUAUCACGGCGUCGGAUCAUCUGAAGAUUGAGCUCACUUACACAACAUUUUUGUUGUUGUCGAACAAUGACUUGGAUGUGUACUUCAUGUUUUUUUGAGAGAAUGUCAGUAUUAGAAAGUGGUUGUUUCCACCAAGGGAUGCAUGAGAUUGAAACUGAACCAACAGGGGUUUAAAAUUGGGUUCUUUGAAACUACCUCAGCACAUUUUUAUUCAAGACUAAUUUUAAAAUCUUUUUGACUGAAUUUAUCAGAAAGGAAGUUGCCAUUAUAAAAUAAGGUUUUGGCAUUUAAAUUUACCCAACAACCCGAAAAUUUCACAUUUCGUUGGCCUGUUUUGGCUUGUUUCUCUAUACUGAUACUUUCGACAAACAAAUCAUAUAGCUUGGUGACAUCACAUUAUGUUUGGCCAUCAGUCAUAGUUGAUUUCAUUCAUGGGAGUAAAUGUGCUAUGGUUGACAUAAAACAGUUUGUUUGUGUCCCCAUUGCUGAAAUAUUAUGUAACUCUGGAUGAAGUUUAAUUCAUUCACAAAAUUGUCAACUUACUUGUAAUGAGGUACUUCAUUACAAGUAUGUAGGCAGAAUACAUGCCAACUUGUAACGAGGUACUUCCUUCGUACAAGUUCAUGUAUUCAAAAAUUGCAUGGUUGUGAUGAGGUACUUCAUUACAAUUCAUGCAAUUAUAAUUACAUGUUUGCAAUGAAGUACCUCAAUGCAAGUAUGUAAACGUUUCAUGCGCGUAAUGAAGUACCGCAUUACAAGCACGAAACAAUUAAGUUAAUUUGUAAUGCAGUUGCUAAUUACAAAGUAUUAAACGGCAACAGGUUGUUUGUAAAAGUAAACUCAUUACAAACAUAAAGACAACAAGCUUGUCAUGGAGUGUAUUAUUAGUGGUUGUUACUAAUUUUUGUU
Molecule: long non-coding RNA, 3136 nt
Organism: Asterias rubens (European starfish)
Lineage: Eukaryota; Metazoa; Echinodermata; Asteroidea; Forcipulatida; Asteriidae
Exons: 8
Source: RefSeq, a predicted model, not a curated record